CAUUUCUGAUUGUCUUUGUAUAUAUGAUUUAACCAUCCGCUUUUGAAUUUACUUGUUCAUUGCAUAUUGAUACCUCCUCUAGGUUAGUUUGACCUUUUUAGCUCUGAUUUUCAUUGUCAGAUUAAAAUUCCAGGCCAGUUCCAAAAGGGAAAUCAUCAAUUAUGCAAGUCCAAAUUAAGUGAAGUAAAACAAAGAUCAGUGUAUCUAUUUAUUACAUAAAUUUACAUGUAUGAUUUCAAUGAGUAAAAUAUAUUCAUUCCCAUUUAUGUGGUUGUACAUGCUUUGGAUCCUUCAUUACUCUAUUGUGUACUACUUUGUGUUACACUAAUAAUAAUAACAUACGGCCUGCUUAACCUAUUAGUUAAUCAGUUGAAUUUUCGUCGAAGUUAAGAGGCAUAUUUGCUUAAAUCAUAAUAUAAUGCCUUAUCCGGGGUUUUUUUUUCUUAUUUUCUACUCUUGCAUUAGCUUCUUUCAUUCUGUAACAGUAGGUUCGGACACUUUUAUUGAAUAUUACCGUGAAGGCUUGCGGAAUGAUAGUAUUUCAAAAGGGCCACAUCUUCCUAGAAUGUUCUAUCUUACAAGUACAUUCUUAUAAUUUGUGUUGCUUCAUAUUUACUUUGACUAGCGAGAAAAGAGAGCAGGAAAAAAAGAGGAGCAACAUGCUACUAAUGUAGAAAAUAUGAGGAGCAACAUGCUACUAACCUCACUUAUCAUUUAACAAAACAUGUUAGCUAGCUUUAAUCAAUUACAAUGUAUAAUACUAACAUUCAUUUAACUAAUGUAGAAAAUAAUUUAUAUUAUCCAAACCAAACACCCCUUAUAUAAUCUUUGCCCUUUAAAUAGUAUAGUUCAUGUUGAUUAUAGAUUGCAGCUACAAUAAUAGUGAUAGUAAUAUGAAAUAAUAAACUACUUUCGCAGAUGAUAAUAAUUAAUAGUGGUUGAGAAAUUUAGCUUAUGUGGGGAAAUCUACAUAUCUUAAGCUCGAGUCCCUUUAUUAUGUAUUCAAAUUAGAAUGCCAAGUCAUUGAAAUUUCCAGAAACUCUGGCUUUUCGAUGCAAAAAAUUUCUAAAGUAAUUGGCUGUGAUCGAAGGACUGGAUUGACUUGCCUCAUGGUCAUAGGUCAAUCACCCAACUAUCUGGAAACUUCCAUUUUUACAGUUUAAGAAUAAUCUUCCAAGUUUUAGUUGAAUAUACUCUUGAUUUAUCUUUAAAAAAUCCUUAAAUUCAUUAUUAAAUCAUAGAUACUUACAGGUGAAAGACCUCUGAAGUCAUUGUUUAUGAAAGCGAGAAGACGUGCCAUGACUCCGACUUCUAACAAAUUCUGCAAGAAAUCGAUCUAAUCAAAGGGAAUGCUAAAAGUCUAUGGGCUAUGGCACUGAACAGUGAAAACUUUGAGGAUCUGAUUACCGAGUUGAUGAUUGAUGACAUAAAAGUAACUAAGCAACUUAAGAUUUGCCCCAUUAAAAUCAUUGAAGUAUACAUGUAGCACAUGUCCGUUUAGUGGGAUCCCUUGGAAUAAUAAAAUGCUUCACAAGGUAGGGUGAAUGAUGAUCUCUCAGAGCUUGGAGGAAAAAAUAAUCUUCUCCCAUGGUUCGAAAUGGUCCUUCAAAGUUAAAAUUGUUGCACACAAUUCAUCACUAGGUGGACUUCACAAUAUUUGAAUUUCUUUGUAGGACUUUGAUCCUCAAUGCAAGAAAACACUAUGCAGUGUUAUUAUGUUGUAAAUAGUGAAUUGAGUAGGCAACAAUCCUUCCUUUUUAGUGGUUCGAUAUUGAAUUCCUUUUU
Lycium barbarum (goji berry) is the source of this 1785-nucleotide long non-coding RNA. RefSeq lists it as uncharacterized. NCBI's taxonomy places the organism in Eukaryota, Viridiplantae, Streptophyta, Magnoliopsida, Solanales, Solanaceae. The record is from RefSeq and is a predicted model, not a curated record. The transcript has 3 exons.